Fundulus heteroclitus (mummichog) is the source of this 3623-nucleotide RNA transcript. It is a transcript of the gene named golgi membrane protein 1, with no coding region annotated. The transcript is spliced from 12 exons. The record is from RefSeq and is a predicted model, not a curated record. Lineage: Eukaryota; Metazoa; Chordata; Actinopteri; Cyprinodontiformes; Fundulidae.
UUCCUUCCCUGUAUGCCUCACACACAGUCAAGGCUUGGCCGUUUAUCACAGGGAUGGAUACUGGCAAGCUACCGAGUGUUGUAGCUUUGAUUAUUCCUUGAAGAGCGGUCUGCUUUUUAAAUACAUUUCCAAUUAUCCCUUCAUAAACCGCACAUUUUGUGAAUUUGUUUGAGACAUAUCCGACAUGGGUGGACUGGGGAACGGUCGGCGUGGAGGAAGAGCCCCGACGUUGAUGGUCGCCGCCCUAAUUGCCUGUAUUUUGGUUUUGGGCUUUAACUACUGGGUGUCCAGCGCUCACAACCUGGAGCUACAGACCAAGCUGAACGAGCUGGAAGACCGGGUGCGACGCGGAGCGGCCGAGCGAGGCGAAGCCGAGAUGAAGAAGAAAGCCUUUCAGGAGCAGAUCGGUCGCAUCGAAAGCGUUCACCGGAAAGAGCUCGACGACGUCCGUAACACCCACAGCCAGGAGAAGGCCAAACUCCUGGAAAACAUUUCCUCCAUGACCAAAACCAUAGAAGAACUUAAAGGUCAGCUUAAUCGGCAGAACGAGGACCUGAGGAAGCUUCAGAAAGAGCUGCAGAGCUGCAAAGCCGACACAAGCGUCCUCAACAACAAACUCACAGUUGACAUGGCCCACUGCCAGUCCCAGGUGCUGUCCCAAAAGAAACUGUGCGACGAGAAGGUGGCUGCUGUUAAACUAGAAGCCCAGAAGAACGCGCAGAAAGUCCUCCCCGUUCCAGCUGACCCAGCCCAGAAAAACGCAGAGACCGGCGAUGGGAAAGAAGACCCAACGGUGAAGGCUGUUCCCAGCGAGGGUGAAACAACAGCUGCUGCUGCGAGCCAGAAUCCAAACAUCCCUCAGGGCAAAAGGGAUAAACCGUCUGAGCUGCUGACCAACGACAUCGACACUGAGAGAGAUUUCUCAGAACAGCCUCCGAGCGACGAGCUUCCUAAAGUCGAAUCCCAGACCGCUCUGUCAACCGCUUCAGACACUCGGGACAAGCCGCCGGCGAACGAGGGAGAGGGUAAACCCGCGAAGGCCGAGGCGACGCCUGGAAAGGGUCUGACGAACAAUCUGACGGGCGACGGAGACAUCGAGGUGAUGGACGUCCACGAGGACGGCGCCCAGACUGAAGAAACAGACCCUGGGAUGGAGGACAUGCUGAUCGGUCAAGGAAAGCCAGACACGGACGCCGAUCAGAAGCUGGAGGAAGCCGACGAGUACGACACGGACGAGCACGUGGUUGGCGGAGCCGACUUGGAGAAAGAGCAGAGAAAUCGAAACAUGGAGGAGGAGAUGGCUGACUACAACGGAGACGACGAGAACGAGGGAGAGUUUGAAGCCGACAAACAAGCUGCACUCGCUCAGAUCUAAGAGACAAAGUUGAAGAAGAACCCCGCACAUCUACCAUUCAGAGAACAGAAAACGUUGCGGAAAAAAAACCCCCAAACCAUCUGGACGAUCAGUUAAGCUUUUUCUUCCCCCCCUCCCUCCUUUGAGCAUCUGCCGCACGUCGUUUCGUUUCCAGACGUUUUAGCGAAUGCCAAACAUGGCCGAAGACAUCUCAAGACUCCGCGGUAUCUGGGCCACGUCGACGCAGAUUAAAACGAAACGCUUCUGGUGACGCGUUGACAUGUCUUAUGGUGACGCGAAAGCAGCUGUGAAUUCAGAUAUCAACGUGCACCUGUUGGGUUUCAGAGUGUGAAAUACUGGGACCAGUGUCAAGAUCUGGGAGGGUGCCGUUGCUCAUUUCAGCCAGCAGAGGGCUCUGCGUUACAAUUCUCAAUAUAGCAUCUUUAGCAAGGCUCAACUUUUUCCUCUGGAUAGCUUCUCCUAGAACUUUUUUUUUUUUUUUUUGUAUUUGAAUUUACUUUAAGUCAGUAUUUUCGGAUCUCCUACAUAUUCUUUAACCUCUUCUUCCAUUAACUGAAGGAGAUGGCCUUUCCCGUUUAUAGUUUCCUGUUACAUUUCUCUGAUAUGAAUGUGGCCUAAAAGCGGUUGGGUUUCAUUAUUAUUUAUUUUCUAAAAACAAACGUAUUUAUGAAUAUAUUUCAUUUUUAUAGUCGAUUCAGAUGCGUCCGAAACUUCAUUUCACCGCUAUACAUUUUAUAUUCAAUAAUUCAAUUCCAUGCCAUAGUAGUAGGGUUCAGGCAUUUCAAGGGGAGCCGUCUUUUGUUCUGGGAAGACAUCACAUGGGUUGUGAUUUGCAGCGUUGCGUAUCUAACAUCGGUAAAGUGGGGGAAAUUGUUGGAAAACGCUUAACAAGGAAAUGCCAGAAAGGCUCAUCUGUAGAUCCUGAACGCUGCUGCUGCUCCAUGCCUUAUCUGCUCUUUUAUUUGACUGGUUUUUGGUCAACGUCUGAAGCUGCUGACUCCCUGGUAGGUUGAAUGUUCAGAGACGUUGUCGGCAGGGGCGUCUUAAUAAUUGCUGUAACAUUACUGUAGACAUUUACACGAAGCAGGGGCGUCGCGUCGUGCUCAGUGGCUCCGUGAAGCCGGCCCAGGGCACGGCGACUCUGAGCCGCGUUUGUGUGUUUCAGGCUAAAGCCGGACUGAGCUGGAAAACUGGGUAAGUGCAAAUAUAAACUAGCUGUAGGCACCAGUGGGACAAAAAGUCGAUCAAAACGCAUUGAAGGAAAAUCGCUUGCCAUGUGAUUUGUGUGGAGGAGAAGAGGUGCAUUUAAUUUCCUUUAUAAUGUCUUGUGUAAUGUAGCUGCUGUAGAUUAGGAUUUCCAUAAUGCUUUAUCAUCAGAUGCCUGUUCCAAGACUACAAUGAUCUUGUAGUCGGAGGUUCUCUACUUCAGAAACUCUGCAUAUCUGAAUGAUUUCGCUGCUGUAGCUCGGGGCUGUUAUGUUGUAAUGAAAGUGUAGAUGUUGUGCAGCUGACUGGUUGGAAGGCGACAAAAGUUUGAUUAUUAUUUGGUGAAAUAAAGGAGGAGGGGGAGUUGUAAAUCUUGUUCUGCAUCAUUUCUAACCUAGUAAAAAAACUUCUGUAUGUUCAGAUUUCACCAUUUGUUGUCUUCUGUCUGCGUUGUUUUAUGACGCUUAGUUAUUUCCUCUGCUUCUUAACGCAAAACCUGAUCACGUGUUCUAAGAGCUGUUCAUAAAAUAGGCAAAGCUGUUAAGCAGCUUUGCCUAUUUUCCUAAUCCAAAUGAACAAAUUGUCGAACCUUUUACGGCAGAUGUGUUCGGGUGGAAUUGAGGUCAGGUUCAAAGCGACAUGCCGGCUAAUAAACAGCGAGCCUGCAAUGUUUUAGUGUUUUUAACAGAAUAUUAUUUAAAGUAGAAUUGACGGCAAACUGCCGACAAAACUGUAACAGUACCAGAUUGUUUGCCUCCUCUUGUGUUUUCUUUUCGCUUUUGUGUCAUUUUUUUAAAUAUUGUCUGUUGAUGUAAUUUGCAGACACUUUAAUUGUAACGUCAGAAUAAUUUAUCUGUCGACUGGUGUAUAAAAAACAACAACUUUUGUAACAUGCAAACGUGCUAACCUAAAGAGAAAAUGUUUUCAUUUGAUUGUCAUUGUUUUGUUCUUUAUAAUUCAACCUAGCUGUAAUUCUAAAAUGAAAGAUUUAAAUAAUCAUGUUCUUUUAUUGACAGUAGAGAUUAAUAAAAACAUUUUUUUU